RNAcentral lists this ribosomal RNA (285 nucleotides) under Ctenophora environmental sample. RNAcentral's name for it is "partial Bacterial small subunit ribosomal RNA". It matches the Rfam family "Bacterial small subunit ribosomal RNA", at positions 509 to 793 of the family's 1533-position model. The record is from RNAcentral. Lineage: Eukaryota; Metazoa; Ctenophora.
CAGCAGCCGCGGUAAUACGGAGGGGGUUAGCGUUGUUCGGAAUUACUGGGCGUAAAGCGCUCGUAGGCGGAUUGGUCAGUCAGAGGUGAAAGCCCAGGGCUCAACCUUGGAAUUGCCUUUGAUACUGCCAGUCUUGAGUUCAGGAGAGGUAAGCGGAAUUCCGAGUGUAGAGGUGAAAUUCGUAGAUAUUCGGAGGAACACCAGAGGCGAAGGCGGCUUACUGGACUGAUACUGACGCUGAGGAGCGAAAGCGUGGGGAGCAAACAGGAUUAGAUACCCUGGUAG